Arabidopsis thaliana (thale cress) is the source of this 480-nucleotide long non-coding RNA. RefSeq annotates it as other RNA. The record is from RefSeq. NCBI's taxonomy places the organism in Eukaryota, Viridiplantae, Streptophyta, Magnoliopsida, Brassicales, Brassicaceae. The transcript is spliced from 2 exons.
ACAUACAAUUUCGGCAUUUCCUCCAACUGUAAAAUAAGCAAAGAUAAGUGACACAUGUUUACACUUUACAUAGUCCUCACCACAGCCAUCAUCUAACUCUCUUUGCUUCCACCACCACCUCCGCUUCUCCCUCUGAACGUCGGUUGCGAGUUGCGACCACCUCAGGUCCGUCUCUCACCCAUGGAAACAUGGGCAUCUGCUACGGUCCACAAAUUAAAAGGUUGGAGUUGGAAAAAAACAAUAGAAGAGCCCUUUAUAUGUUGAAGAUAAAAGGCCCCAAAAAUUAUUAACUUAACAUAACAGGCCCAUAAAACAAUUAACCUAGUUAACUAGUUUAAAGAAUUCAAUCCGAAUCUUCCUUAUUGUCCUCCUUUUAGUUUUUGAGACUCACUCAGAUCAUGAUCAAAAUCACAAGCUCUCUAAUUUUCUUCGGUCGUAAAGCUCAUUAAAGCCUAGACAUGUAUAUCUUAAAAGCUCCUA